CCCAAUGUGGCAUAGUGGUUUGAGCAUUAGACUAUGACUCUGGAGACCAGGUUUGAAUUCCUGCUUAGCCA
Phrynosoma platyrhinos (Desert horned lizard) is the source of this 71-nucleotide non-coding RNA. The record is from the annotation of a GenBank genome assembly. NCBI's taxonomy places the organism in Eukaryota, Metazoa, Chordata, Lepidosauria, Squamata, Phrynosomatidae.